RNAcentral lists this ribosomal RNA (52 nucleotides) under uncultured bacterium. Its description in RNAcentral is "partial 16S ribosomal RNA". The record is from RNAcentral.
CUAACCGGGGCGACCGGGGACCACGGGUCGUAAGGAUUCAUGGACUGGGGUG